RNAcentral lists this long non-coding RNA (2470 nucleotides) under Mus pahari (shrew mouse). RNAcentral's name for it is "retina and anterior neural fold homeobox, opposite strand 1 (MGP_PahariEiJ_G0004725.1)". The record is from RNAcentral. Lineage: Eukaryota; Metazoa; Chordata; Mammalia; Rodentia; Muridae.
GAAAAAGUCAGUUUCUGGAAUCCAUCUGAAGUUUUAACCUGCAGCUUACAAGGGAUGAGAGUCGUUUUGAACAACGUGCGCAGUUCCUGUCCGUCAAUCCAAGAGCUUACCUGGACCCGAACCUCGGGUAGGUUAACCUUGCCGGCCAACUCUUCGCGGCUGUACACGUCGGGGUAGUGGGACUUCUCGAAGGCGCGCUCCAGCUCGUGCAGUUGGUAAGUGGUGAACGUCGUGCGGUUGCGUCGAUGCUUCUUCUUGGGAGGUUCCUCCUCCGACAGCUUCGACUCGCCUGCUGUUGGCCCAACCGGGAGUCCUGGGCUCGGACGUGCUUCUCCUUGCUCCUUGGGGUAGCAGGGCCGAGUAGCUGGGGGCAGCGAAGCCCCAAGCGGUCAGUGACAUUCAUUCCGGAGGCGAAGCAGCCUCUCUGCGGCCCUAGGCGACCCGGUGGCGCCUGAGCUGGUCUAAGGAGGCCCUCGAUGGGGACCCUAUGUGGGGUCACUAGGAUUUCUCUAACCUCAAGUCGGGCAAACCCCAAACCCACGACCUAAAGAUAAAGGAGAAGAAGCUCCUGUCUUGCAGAGCAUCCCAAGGGCUUUGCAGCCUUGCUGAGCACUCACCUUCGUACUCUGGGACGAGUCCCGGGGCUGCUGGUGGGGAAGACUCCGAGCCACCGGCGUGCGCCUUGGGGCAGGCGGGUCGCGCGCCCAGCCUGGGAUCCCGCUCUUUCGAGCCCCUGGAGCUCCUCUCUGCAGGAAAAGUGUCUAGGAUCCCGUCUUCCUUGGUAAAGCCCAGGAUGGCUUCGAUGCUGUGCAAACGCGACGUGCUCCCUCCCGGGCUGCGGAGCAGGUGGCCAGCGAGCGAGAAGCUCCCGUCGGCCAUGGCUGGCGCACAGCCGGGCAGGUGCAUGGGGAGGCAAGAGCGCACUUUGCAAACUGGAGCUCGAUGCCCGUUCCCCCUCCCCAGCCCCACUCCCUCAAAUGUGCACUUUUAGAACGUGAGCAAAUGGGUGGGUCCGUCCAAAGCUAAACUCGGCGGGCAACCGGCUUGGGCACGAUUAACCGGACCCGCUGCUGCAGCAGGAAGUUUAGCCUGGGGUAACUGGAGCUUUGGUGCUUAAAGGCCCCGCAGUGCUCUAGUCUGGGACUCCACCCUCUCUCCAGACCCAGCCCUUUUCCCUCUGUCCCUCCCCUAUAGAGGGCGGGUCUUUCUCCUCUCAGCCUAGGGUCCUGCUCCCUGUCAUCCAGGCCUGCUCCCUGAAUGUCCCUUCAUCUGAUCUAUUUCAAUUCCACAUUUUCCAGGUACCAGGAGUGGGAAGUUUGACAGGAGGGGGCACCUCUCCACCCCAGUCCGAACCUCCCAGGGUUCGCUUCACCCCUUUCUGUGUUCACCUGCCCCUUUCUUGCCUACCUCCUCCCAAUGCUUUACACUCGGGACCAUCUUCCGGCACUUGGAAGCUCCAAGAUUGGCUAAAGACUUUCCGGCUAACCCUGGGCGAUUGAAGUUAGUUCGCAGGCCUUCCUGUUUGAAUCUUCCCUUAAUCUUCCCUUCAUUUCUCCACCUAUGCUUCUGUGCUUUGACCUCCUAGACUUCAGGCUUCCUUUGUCUGUGUCUGUUUUUACUUCUCUCUGUACCCUCAGAAAUGAUGGUGAGACAGUCUGUGCCCACAGAACGAAGGACCUCAAAUAUAAGAGUUCCCAGGACCUCAAAAAGGCACGAGAUAUUUCCUCUCAUUAACUAUCUUGAAGGGCCAGGAUCCUUAAUGGAAUUACAGAGAUGAACAACCCUGGUUUUCUCCCACUUCCACAGGCCAGGCAGACGAACCAAAACUGGUAGGUGGGGACGUUCACCUGGGGAGAAGGUCCCAGUGCAUCCCUGAGAGUUAGCGCCUUAAUCCGCUUGAGUUCCUUCCCCCUUGGGGGGCCCUUGAGGCUUGCUUGACCCAGAGUGACUCAAAGGCUCAGCAGAAAGAAUACUCAUAGCAGCCUCAUUGCUCUUAGCAACUGUGAGCACUGCACCCCUCAAAGCCGAGGGUUAGAGUCCAGAUGAUGCCCAGCCUCGCUGAAGUGUUAGUCUGAGAAGGCAACUGCAGCCCCCCCCCCCCCCCCAGGAGCUGGGGUUCUGCGUUUCCCAAUUCCCCCUUUCUCAGAUCUCCACCAAGACAGACUUCUUUCUCAUUACUUCUUCUUCUUCUUGUUGUUCCUUCUACAGGGCCAACACUAUCCUGGACGAGGUCACACAAGUCACACAGAACCCAUGUAGUAGCUUUGAGGAAUUGAUGUGCCAGGCUGUGAGAAAUGACAAGUGAAUAUAUAAUGCGGAUAAGUUGACAGUGGGUUGAAACUGAAGUCUGGCUUAGCUCGGGAAGUUUGCAUUUGAAGAGGAACCUGUCAGGGUUGAAGAUGCCGCUCAGGGUGAAACAGUUGCCUAGAAACAUUUAACCCCCAGCACCUGUUAAAAUAAACUACAAUAC